UUAAGCGACUAAGCGUACACGGUGGAUGCCCUGGCAGUCAGAGGCGAUGAAGGACGUGCUAAUCUGCGAUAAGCGUCGGUAAGGUGAUAUGAACCGUUAUAACCGGCGAUUUCCGAAUGGGGAAACCCAGUGUGUUUCGACACACUAUCAUUAACUGAAUCCAUAGGUUAAUGAGGCGAACCGGGGGAACUGAAACAUCUAAGUACCCCGAGGAAAAGAAAUCAACCGAGAUUCCCCCAGUAGCGGCGAGCGAACGGGGAGCAGCCCAGAGCCUGAAUCAGUGUGUGUGUUAGUGGAAGCGUCUGGAAAGGCGCGCGAUACAGGGUGACAGCCCCGUACACAAAAAUGCACAUGCUGUGAGCUCGAUGAGUAGGGCGGGACACGUGGUAUCCUGUCUGAAUAUGGGGGGACCAUCCUCCAAGGCUAAAUACUCCUGACUGACCGAUAGUGAACCAGUACCGUGAGGGAAAGGCGAAAAGAACCCCGGCGAGGGGAGUGAAAAAGAACCUGAAACCGUGUACGUACAAGCAGUGGGAGCACGCUUAGGCGUGUGACUGCGUACCUUUUGUAUAAUGGGUCAGCGACUUAUAUUCUGUAGCAAGGUUAACCGAAUAGGGGAGCCGAAGGGAAACCGAGUCUUAACUGGGCGUUAAGUUGCAGGGUAUAGACCCGAAACCCGGUGAUCUAGCCAUGGGCAGGUUGAAGGUUGGGUAACACUAACUGGAGGACCGAACCGACUAAUGUUGAAAAAUUAGCGGAUGACUUGUGGCUGGGGGUGAAAGGCCAAUCAAACCGGGAGAUAGCUGGUUCUCCCCGAAAGCUAUUUAGGUAGCGCCUCGUGAAUUCAUCUUCGGGGGUAGAGCACUGUUUCGGCUAGGGGGUCAUCCCGACUUACCAACCCGAUGCAAACUACGAAUACCGAAGAAUGUUAUCACGGGAGACACACGGCGGGUGCUAACGUCCGUCGUGAAGAGGGAAACAACCCAGACCGCCAGCUAAGGUCCCAAAGUCAUGGUUAAGUGGGAAACGAUGUGGGAAGGCCCAGACAGCCAGGAUGUUGGCUUAGAAGCAGCCAUCAUUUAAAGAAAGCGUAAUAGCUCACUGGUCGAGUCGGCCUGCGCGGAAGAUGUAACGGGGCUAAACCAUGCACCGAAGCUGCGGCAGCGACGCUUAUGCGUUGUUGGGUAGGGGAGCGUUCUGUAAGCCUGCGAAGGUGUGCUGUGAGGCAUGCUGGAGGUAUCAGAAGUGCGAAUGCUGACAUAAGUAACGAUAAAGCGGGUGAAAAGCCCGCUCGCCGGAAGACCAAGGGUUCCUGUCCAACGUUAAUCGGGGCAGGGUGAGUCGACCCCUAAGGCGAGGCCGAAAGGCGUAGUCGAUGGGAAACAGGUUAAUAUUCCUGUACUUGGUGUUACUGCGAAGGGGGGACGGAGAAGGCUAUGUUGGCCGGGCGACGGUUGUCCCGGUUUAAGCGUGUAGGCUGGUUUUCCAGGCAAAUCCGGAAAAUCAAGGCUGAGGCGUGAUGACGAGGCACUACGGUGCUGAAGCAACAAAUGCCCUGCUUCCAGGAAAAGCCUCUAAGCAUCAGGUAACAUCAAAUCGUACCCCAAACCGACACAGGUGGUCAGGUAGAGAAUACCAAGGCGCUUGAGAGAACUCGGGUGAAGGAACUAGGCAAAAUGGUGCCGUAACUUCGGGAGAAGGCACGCUGGUGUGUAGGUGAAGUCCCUGCGGAUGGAGCUGAGACCAGUCGAAGAUACCAGCUGGCUGCAACUGUUUAUUAAAAACACAGCACUGUGCAAACACGAAAGUGGACGUAUACGGUGUGACGCCUGCCCGGUGCCGGAAGGUUAAUUGAUGGGGUUAGCGCAAGCGAAGCUCUUGAUCGAAGCCCCGGUAAACGGCGGCCGUAACUAUAACGGUCCUAAGGUAGCGAAAUUCCUUGUCGGGU
Molecule: ribosomal RNA, 1948 nt
Filed under: metagenome
Description: bacterial LSU rRNA
Rfam family: Bacterial large subunit ribosomal RNA
Source: RNAcentral